GAUGAAGAACGUAGCGAAAUGCGAUAAGUAAUGUGAAUUGCAGAAUUCAGUGAAUCAUCGAAUCUUUGAACGCACAUUGCGCCCGCCAGUAUUCUGGCGGGCAUGCCUGUCUGAGCGUCAUUUCAACCCUCAUGCCCCUAGGGCGUGGUGUUGGGGAUCGGCCAAAGCCCGCGAGGGACGGCCGGCCCCUAAAUCUAGUGGCGGACCCGUCGUGGCCUCCUCUGCGAAGUAGUGAUAUUCCGCAUCGGAGAGCGACGAGCCCCUGCCGUUAAACCCCCAACUUUCCAAGGUCGACCUCAGAUCAGGUAGGAAUACCCGCUGAACUUAAGCAUAUCAAUAAGCGGAGGA
This 348-nucleotide unclassified non-coding RNA is filed under the name soil metagenome. Its description in RNAcentral is "partial contains 5.8S ribosomal RNA, internal transcribed spacer 2, and large subunit ribosomal RNA". The stretch from base 1 to 120 matches the Rfam family "5.8S ribosomal RNA", at positions 35 to 154 of the family's 154-position model. The record is from RNAcentral.